Molecule: non-coding RNA, 3420 nt
Organism: Danio rerio (zebrafish)
Lineage: Eukaryota; Metazoa; Chordata; Actinopteri; Cypriniformes; Danionidae
Source: RefSeq, a predicted model, not a curated record
AAAGGAUUUACCAUGUAGUUGAAUAGUGAUGUUUAACCAUCCUAAGGGUAUCUCCGCUUUUCCAUUAGCCAAGUAAAGAGGUCCACUCGACCAGUUUUGUAGCUGGGCAGAGGUAUCAAAAUGCUGCAUUAGACUUUCAUGUAUUAGCGUGUAGCUUGCUCCAGUGUCCAGUAUGGCUUUUCCAAACCAUGAUCCAAUACUAAUUGGGACAACUAAUUGUUGUGGAAUGGCCAGAGAUGACAUAGUUGUAGAUGGAAGGAAAACAUUUGGAACUUCUUUUGUUGAUUGGGGUGUUUCUGAGGCUGCUACAAUGAUGUUCGUAGGUCGACCUCCUGACUUUGCAGCAUGAAAACUCUUUCCAUGGUUUGGGUGAUGUUGCGUGGAAGAUUGCUGGGAAGGUGGAGUUAAAUACAUUGGGCAAUUUCCCGGUGGAUGUGGACCACUGCACCUCCAACACUGAAUAGGCUGUUUCUCAACAGGUCGAUUGGAGAAAGAUUUUUGUGAACUUGCUUGUUUGUGAGCCAUUCGACUUUCAUACCGUCUUUGUUCUUCAUAGUCUCGUUCCAAUAGAUAUCCCAAUUUAACUAGAUCCUCCACGGUGUUCACUCUACUGCGCAGUUGGCUGGCAAGUACGAACACGCUCAGCAAGCUCAUCUUCGUAGUCUUCAGACAGGAAUGCAGAAAGAAAUGCAGACUCAAAUUCCUUCCAAGUCGCAAUAUUGGAGCGACUCACUUCCCACCAGUCCCGAGCUGUGCCAUAUAAGACAGUGGGAAAGGUAGCCAAAAGAUCUGCAUCUGUCAAAGGAUGAAGUGCCAGGAAAUCUUGACAUUUUGUUAGGUACAAUAAAGGGUCAGUAUCAUCUGUAUGUCGUCCAAAGGUGGGAAAAGUUAAUUUAAGGUGAUCACUUUUGACCAUGGUAUUUGGUAAAGUUGAAACAGUCUCAGUGGAGAGUGUACUUGUAACUGGAGCAGCUUUUGUUUCUGUUUGAGGUUCAACAUCUUUCACAUUGUGCACUUGUAAAUCCUUUUUCAACUGUGUAACACAGGUCUGACAUUCACUAAUUUUUUCUUCACAUUGCUGAAGAUUUGUAGUAAGCUGAUCCAAACUUCCCUGGAGGGUUUGCUGGAUUGAUUUUAGAUCAUGGUGGACAUCUCUCCGGAGUUUUUCCACUUUGUCAACAACUGCUGAGGUAAGGGUUGAUUCAAAUUUCUGAAACUCAGUUGCAAGCAUCAAUUGUACAGCUUUGACCAACUGGUCAGCAUCUGCAGCCUCUUGUUGCUUAGCUCCAGUGAGUAUGGUGACAAUCUCUUGCUUAUUGGACUCUAUUUUGGCUGUAAGGGUGGUGAUUUGAUUCACAUGCUGGGAUGAUGAAGUUUUCAGCUUUUGAGUAAGUUCAUGCAAACAUUUCUCUUGUUUUUUCAUUGUUACCAUCAGAUUGUCCAAAUUACCUUGCACAUAAGAACUGACCUGCUGAAUUUCUCUCCUAGGGGUUGGAAGGUUCCCAGGCAGAUCAUGCUGUUCCAUUGUAGAAGGUGAUGAAACAUCUGCAGACGUGCACAGUUGCAUGCUAACAUGUUCCUGGGACAAAGAAAGAGGUUGCAUUAGAAUAUGGCCUCCCAGAGCAGUAGGAAGUGUCUGUACUGGAGUUGCAUGGCUUGGGAAACUGUGGACCGGUGAAAUAUUAUGCAUAAUUUGGUCAUGAGGUGGAAGUCCAGAAAGUGUUUGAGUUUGCAUUGGAGGUGACCACACUGGCGUGGAAAUUGUUGGGGCAUCAGGUGCAUCAAUAUCAACAUAUGUUGACGUUGAAUGGGAAAAGAACUGGGCCAUGACUUGUGUUGGUUGUGGGUGUGAUUAGGAUUUGUGUGUGUUUGGGACAGCAGGAAAAAAAAGGAAUAAAUAAAAAAAAAACCAAUAAAACAAAAAAUACUCACAAAGAAACUGUUCUCUGCAAUCAAUUACAUCAUGUCCAUACUAUCAAUGUAAGAGAAACCUUUCAAAUGCAUGUACAAAAAUACAAGACAGAUGACGAUCACAUUUUCUAGUUCAAGUUCCCACACACUUUGAUACAAAAAAUAAAUUCAGCUUACACUGGUUGCUCAAGCAAAUUUUCACAAUAAACUCAAAUCAUUAUACCAAAAACCACAUACAUGACAAGUUUUUUUUUUUAUACACAAUUUCAGUUAUUUGAUGAUUUUUGUCAAUAGUUCUCACAUUCAGCAAGAAAAAAACAAUUUUAAACUAUUAAACAUUCACAAACAAAACCCUGUCCAGUAAUUCAGGUCAGUCAGUCAGUCAAAGAAAUUUUCAGUUAUUCAAGUCAAUCAAUGAAAGUUUUUAAUUAUUCAAGUCCCUUAAAGUGUUUAAAGUCCCUUAAAGUGUUCAUGUCCCUGUUUGGGUGCCAUUUCUGUAACGGUGGUCACACACACAAAAAAAAAAAUUUUUAAGUAAUAACUCUUAGGUUAGAUUCGAACCCGGGCCUCCCGCAUGGCAGGCGAGAUUUCUACCACUGAACCACGGAAGGCGCUGUCGGGGCCGUGCGUCUGGUAGUAUCUCCCACUAACGCAGUCACCCUCGGGCAAAAAAAAAAAUAAAAUAUAUUAUAAUAUAACAUACAUAUAUUAACAAAUUUUAUGCAUGAUUUCGGGUGCCAGACAAGUUUUAAACCUUGCCACAAAUAAAUCUAACUAUAAUUAAUUACCCAGGAUAGCGAAAACAAAACUUAUACAAGACCCUCCGUUACAUACAGUAACAUAGAACCAUACGAAAUAAGAACAAGAAAAUCGAAUUCCACUUAGAAAGAUUUAAUGAAUUAAUUGAAAUGGCAAAUACAACUACAAGUAAUAACAAUACCAAAAAUAAAUAUUUAUAUAGUCAAUAUCCUACAAUCAUUUUAAGUAACCCAAAACAAGAUUCCUCUCAAAAAACAACAACAAAUACACCAAGAAAUAAAUAAACAAAACUUUUCAAAUUUCUCAAAUAACUAAUUAAAUGAAAAUAAAGGGAGGUUGGGUGGAGAAUGUAUGUAUGUAAGUGUAUGAGUGAAACUGACCCAAGAGGCUUGCAGUGGUGACGUCAGGAGGUUACACGUCAGCAGUUCACUGGCUGGCAGGUGACUUGGCAGAACGGAUAGAAAUGAUGAACAGGCAGCCGUUUUCGGAGGUGUCCUAACACAUCGCACCGGUAAUUUUUCAACACGAAGGUAACAUAAGACUGGCACUCGUCAGCAAUUACCAGGAAACUUGUUGUUACGGUGGCUAUAAAGGACAAGUCAGUGAAAACUUGAGCAUCGCCGCAUCUCUUCCUCAGCUUCCUCAGACCCAGGCAGAGCCACACCCGCAACGCAACUUGGUGACGCAAACACCACUCCCACACUGGAGGUCAGAACUCUCUCUCUCAGAAGAGAAAAAAAAAAACCCUUU